Molecule: ribosomal RNA, 497 nt
Filed under: uncultured bacterium
Lineage: Bacteria
Description: partial 16S ribosomal RNA
Rfam family: Bacterial small subunit ribosomal RNA
Source: RNAcentral
GACGAACGCUGGCGGCGUGCCUAAUACAUGCAAGUAGAACGCUUAAGCUUGGUGCUUGCACCGAGCGGAUGAGUUGCGAACGGGUGAGUAACGCGUAGGUAACCUGCCUGGUAGCGGGGGAUCACUAUUGGAAACGAUAGCUAAUACCGCAUAAGAGUAGAUGUUGCAUGACAUUUGCUUAAAAGGUGCAAUUGCAUCACUACCAGAUGGACCUGCGGUGUAUUAGCUAUUUGGUGAGGUAACGGCCCACCAAGGCAACGAUACAUAGCCUACCUGAGAGGGUGAUCGGCCAAACUGGGACUGGGACACGGCCCAGACUCCUAAGGGAAGCAGCAGUAGGGAAACUUCGGACAUGGACGGAAGUCUUACCGAGCAACGCCGCGUGAGGGAAGAAGGUUUUCGGAUCGGAAAGCUCUGUUGUAAGAGAAGAACGAGUGUGAGAGUGGAAAGUUCACACUGUGACGGUACCUUACCAGAAAGGGACGGCUAACUACGUG